GAUGAACGCUGGCGGCGUGCCUAAUACAUGCAAGUCGAGCGAACAGACGAGGCGCUUGCUCCUCUGACGUUAGCGGCGGACGGGUGAGUAACACGUGGAUAACCUACCUAUAAGACUGGGAUAACUUCGGGAAACCGGAGCUAAUACCGGAUAAUAUAUUGAACCGCAUGGUUCAAUAGUGAAAGACGGUUUUGCUGUCACUUAUAGAUGGAUCCGCGCCGCAUUAGCUAGUUGGUAAGGUAACGGCUUACCAAGGCAACGAUGCGUAGCCGACCUGAGAGGGUGAUCGGCCACACUGGAACGGAGACACGGUCCAGACUCCUACGGGAGGCAGCAGUAGGGAAUCUUCCGCAAUGGGCGAAAGCCUGACGGAGCAACGCCGCGUGAGUGAUGAAGGUCUUCGGAUCGUAAAACUCUGUUAUUAGGGAAGAACAAAUGUGUAAGUAACUAUGCACGUCUUGACGGUACCUAAUCAGAAAGCCACGGCUAACUACGUG
This 497-nucleotide ribosomal RNA is filed under the name uncultured bacterium. Its description in RNAcentral is "partial 16S ribosomal RNA". It matches the Rfam family "Bacterial small subunit ribosomal RNA", at positions 28 to 507 of the family's 1533-position model. The record is from RNAcentral.